CCUUCCAUCAGCCGCCCUACACCUAUUCAAGCAGCCCAAAAUUCAGGCUUUAUGCCAUGCUUGGCAGAGGCAAUUAAAUGCCCCAUUUUCAGCCUCCAAUCUCAUCCCCAAGUCAAAUAUUGCAGGCAAAUCUCCAUCAAAUCUCCAUCAAAUCUCAUCAAAUCUCAUCCCGUCAAAUAUUUCAGCCCAGCUGCCCUAUUCACAACCCAUGCUGCUACACUACUCAUCAAUCCAUUCAACUGUUAACUCAUUUUUUUUCUUUAAAUGAUCUUUCCUCAUUCACAAUCAUCUUUACCCAGCUGCAAGAAUUCAUACGGUAAAGUUCUCUCUUCAACUCAUUUUUUUUCUCAACUAUGUAAACCAACUCACACACUCAAUAAUCAGUCAUUCAUUUCACAAAGAAGAUAAUCACCGAUGACAUAGACAUAGACAUAAUUUGAUUUGCAUAUCAUACACAUAUGCAUUUUCUGCAAAUUGCUAAUCAAAGCUUUUUAAAGGGAAUAAGCUAU
RNAcentral lists this long non-coding RNA (509 nucleotides) under Salvia miltiorrhiza (redroot sage). RNAcentral's name for it is "long non-coding RNA (SMIL_LNC013839)". Lineage: Eukaryota; Viridiplantae; Streptophyta; Magnoliopsida; Lamiales; Lamiaceae. The record is from RNAcentral.